This is a transfer RNA of Oscillibacter sp. 1-3, 73 nucleotides long. It matches the Rfam family "tRNA". From Rfam's summary of the family: Transfer RNA (tRNA) molecules are approximately 80 nucleotides in length. Their secondary structure includes four short double-helical elements and three loops (D, anti-codon, and T loops). Further hydrogen bonds mediate the characteristic L-shaped molecular structure. tRNAs have two regions of fundamental functional importance: the anti-codon, which is responsible for specific mRNA codon recognition, and the 3' end, to which the tRNAs corresponding amino acid is attached (by aminoacyl-tRNA synthetases). tRNAs cope with the degeneracy of the genetic code in two manners: having more than one tRNA (with a specific anti-codon) for a particular amino acid; and 'wobble' base-pairing, i.e. permitting non-standard base-pairing at the 3rd anti-codon position. The record is from Rfam. Lineage: Bacteria; Bacillati; Bacillota; Clostridia; Eubacteriales; Oscillospiraceae.
CGCGGAGUAGAGCAGUUGGUAGCUCGUCGGGCUCAUAACCCGGAGGUCGCAGGUUCAAGUCCUGUCUCCGCAA